Molecule: long non-coding RNA, 375 nt
Filed under: Gallus gallus (chicken)
Lineage: Eukaryota; Metazoa; Chordata; Aves; Galliformes; Phasianidae
Source: RNAcentral
GAGGGACCCACCUUAUCCUUAACAAGCAAGGUGCACUGUGGAGGGUGGGGGAAGUGGGCAGUUGUUCUUUGGACCAUCAGCUUGAGGGAGGCACCCGGUCUCACGUUCCUGAGGUACUGCUUCCAUAGGAUGGUGCCAGAACUGCUUUCAAUGCCAAAAAGCUUUCCUGAAGCAGUGACCAUCACCAUCAUUUUCUGGAGGUUGAACUCAUCCCUGGCUAGAUUGUCAAUGUUAAUCUCAUUUUUAAUCUGGCUCCGGGGUUUCCUGGCAUCAUAGAACAUCUUCCAAAGGUGAGCAGUCCAGGCUUGCAGCAGGAUAAGCUGGGAGGACAGCCGCUUCAGAAACAUCCCCAGCAAUCCAUCUGCUUUCUUCCCA